GGCGCUUGUGAAGGAGGAGUGGCUCUAAAGUGAUUGUGGGCGGUACCGGGAGAGCACGGAGGACACUUCAGCAUCUGCUGAAAUUACUCUUUGGCAAAGGGGAGACCCAAGAGACCCAUGCCGCCGCCACCAUGUUGAUAAACCUGGGUGAAACUCACUUUUUCUUCCUGAAGUUUACAAGCAGGAAGGGAAUACUUCGUAUGUUCAAAAGUCCAUCUGCAGUUAACAUCCGGACUUUCAUUUAUAUUCGAUCUAAUCCAUGGAAUUCUUAUUCUGAUCAACGUUACCAGAUGAGCUAUGUGCACUGAGGGAUGAUUAGCCCAAAGUAGGACAGAAGAGAAUCUGAAAAGUAGCCUUUCCACCUGCCCCCUGGCUCUGCCCUAGAAAACAGUCAGUCAGCAGUACUUCCUAGAAACCACGGAGACAGAAGUUACGCUGCACCGUCUUCAGCUGCAGGAAUCCUGAAUUGGUUCUUUGUACAAGAUCAUCCGUUAAACGCCAAAGCCUCAGUGCCCUCGAUAGAUCAUUCACUCCUACUAAAUGCCUUAGAAAUGGAAAUUCCAGAAAGUGAGGAGAGAUUUCUUUCUGAUUUAUUCACUGCUGUGUCGUCAUGGAUUAGAACAGCGCCUGGGACGUAGUAAGCCCUUUAGUAAACAUUGGAUGCAUGGACAGUUCUGAUUUGUGACUUUGGGAGAAGGGAGAAGAUAUAUGUAACUGGAAGUUGAAAGGUCACAAUCCACAGACAGAUGAAAGAAAAAUGAAGAAAAUGGUGUGAAUUCCUAGGGUUCCAGGAGGGGGGACCAGAAAUGAAGAGCAUAAUUGGAUAUAAAAGGAAAGUGUGAAUUUCCUAAGCACACGCAUGGGCAGCAGAGUAUCUGAUACGCAGUUAGCUUUGAAUACACGUUUGCUUUCAACAAUUUUUUUAAUUUUUUUGCGGUACGCGGGCCUUCACUGUUGUGGCCUCUCCCAUUGGGGAGCACAGGCUCUGGACGCACAGGCUCAGCGGCCAUGGCUCACGGGCCCAGCCGCUCCGCGGCAUGUGGGAUCUUCCCGGACCGGGGCACGAACCCGUGUCCCCUGCAUCGGCAGGCGGACUCUCAACCACUGCACCACCAGGGAAGCCCUCAACAAUUUUUAAUUCUUCAUAAAUUAACAACUGAAGAGAUUCAACUGAAUUUUUAUCCAAUGUGUAGGGUAUAAAGGAUAACAAUAAAAUGAACGCUCCACCACCUGAUUUAAGAUGGUGUUUCUCAUCCCUGUAGGCUGGGAAAGAGAUGGCAAGAGGAGAGAGGAAAGGCCCAAGGAAGCACGUGGGCCGCCUUCCUCAGGGCCUCCUCCCUUGGGUUCCAAUCGCUACCUCAGUUUCCCUUACUUACUAGGAGAGGAUUUCUGUACAGAGAACCCCAAAAGCUGAAGGCAGAAUACAGUCCUAGACUGUUAUGUGACCUUGGGCAUGUUAAAAAGACUUCUCUGGGCCUAUGUUCUGAAUAAAAGAAAGGAGGUAGCUUGGUGGUUUUCAAAUCCUCUCUUAGGUGGGAAGCUGCUCCAACAAAAUCCUCCCAGAUGAUGACUGACUGAAGAGGACGCCUUCCCCAGCACUAGACUGUUUAUUCCUUCCUUAUUUAGGUCUCCAUGAUGCAGUGCUUCCUGUACUGUAUCGAGUUCCUGCACACUCCAGCGGAGUUCUUUUUUGAGUGUGUUUGAAUGUUAAGCUAAGGCUUAUUUCAUUGCUUUCAACGAGAUGCACUUUUAAGGAGUGUCAAAAAUGCAGGCAUGAACAUUUUUAUGACCCUGUACCUUCAUCAGGAGAGCGUCCAACUCAACGUAAACGGACUUAAUCCCCCACAAGCCUGAUUGGCAUUCCAUUCCUAAGAGUUAAUAUCAAGGAAAUAAUCCAAAAGGCAAAAAAAAAAAAAAAGCCAUGUGCAUGGAGUUCUUUGUCAUAACAUUUUUCAUUAUAGUGAAAAAUGAAAAACUGGGGAACAACCAACAGAGGAGGACUGAGUUACGAUGCUUCAGUGUUAUACUAGUGAGUGCAAUGCUCAUUGUCACAUUUGACAGCUAUCAGAACAAUCACUGUGGAGACUGGGUUAACGAGGAGAAGAGGAAAAUGCAGAAUCUGCUGAAGUAUACAGAGGAAGCAGGAGGCCAGCUUGCUUCCCCUGCAUUUCUUCUGACUCUCUUCUAUGUCUUUUCUCAGUUUCUCCCACGUUGCUAUGGGAACAUGGAAAAAUGAGUUGAUAUAUGAGGUCAAUAACACAAUGGUGAUUUUCUGCUUCUGAACUGUGCCAGGGCACAGAAUACAAGCACACUGCAUGGGAAUUAGAGCCUCUCAGGCCUUCAGUGACUUUUUUCCCACAACUGGGCCCUGAAUGUAUUUCUGUCACCAUCCUUACUGUUCCGGUUUUGUAAUGAACUAUGAGGACUGGAGCAGGCACAUAGUAGGCACUUGAUUUACAUUGUGACAUGAACAAAACCUUCCUUUCCUUCCUCUGUGGUUUGUGGCUUACCUAGAAGCACCAUGUAACUGACGCACUGAAACAGCCAGAGGGACUGAGAAAGCAAAAGAAGCAGUGCUUUCAACUCUUUCUGUUUAACAAAGUGCUCGGUGGAACUGUAAGAGGAUAUUUAGCACCACAAAAAGUAGGCCAAGGGUAAGAAAAACUCCAUACCCCAGAGAAUUCAGAUGACCAAAUUAAGUCUGAUCCAGAAUAAACAGUUCUCAUCUGGAAAUCUAGCAGUUCCAGAAAGUACUGUCUGGGGGUAAAAGGCCCACGAUGUCAAGCUGCAUAAUUAUGUAACCCUCCAGGAAAGAGGGAAGAAGUGCCAUCGUACAGGGGUGCACGGAGAAAAUCAAAUGUGAGCAAAUAACAGUUCUCAGGCCUCAAAGAGGAAGACUGUUUUUGCUGAAGAGAAACCAGUCCCUUUCCCAUGAACUUGACCAGCUUCAGUUUUCCCCAUCCUCACCCAGCAUCCAAAGCCUAAAACAAGGUUGCUAUUUCAAAUCCCUCCAAUAGAAAUAACUUUCCAAUAGUCAUGUGAGUGGUGUUGCACAUGAAGGAACUCACCUGAAAUGAAACGGAAGCUUAGCUAUUAUGAAUAGGUCAAGAACAUUCAUGUUAGUAUUUUAUCAGGAAAAGCAUUAUCAUUGUCCCCUUACAGACUCUCAACCACGGCGCCACCAGGGAAGCCCUACCACAACUUUUAAUGCAGGCUUGAUUCCACCAGUCCUUUGUUUAAUGAUGGAAAAGUUCCUAACUUUAUAUAUUGUACUUUUACUGGGGGCUCUGUACAAGAUAUUUUGGGUAAAUAGAGGACUCUGUUACAUCCUGUUAAAAAAAAAUUUCUUAACCCAUAGGAGUCAACCUAAUUAAUUAUAAGGACGUUGUUCUUUCCGCAGCACCCAGGGUGAACCUAUUCCAAUACCUCAUGCCUAUAAUGGUUUUGGUUAUGCAGGUCUAAUCCCUUAACAACAUACGCCGAAGACAAUACUUCUUUUAACCUCAAGUGGAAAUUAAUCUUUAUAUUUCACUUAUUCAUCCAAUAGUAAUAAUUAUUACUGACACAUAUUGAACAAUUGGAUAUGCUAGAAAACGUGCUAACAACUUUGACAUGUGUAAUAUAAAGUUAAUAAUCCUAUUAGUAGAAAUCAUUAUCCCCAAUUUUUGGAGGAAAAACUUGAACGAAGGUGAAACUCAAAUUCACAUCAUCCAUAACCCACCACGCUCAAAAAGACCAUUGAACUCAGAGAGACAUAGGGGAUCUUCAAGUUCAGUCGCUUCAUUGUUGUUUACCUUCAUUAUGGAACUUUUCAAAUACAUACAAAAGUAGUCAGGAGAGUAUAAUAAACUUCCUUUUUAAAAAAAAAAAUUAUUUAUUUGUCUGUUCCAGGUCUGUGGGAUCUAGUUCCCUGACUAAGGAUCAAACCCAGGCCCCCUGCAUUGGGGGUAGCACAGAGUCUUAACCCCUGGAC
This is a long non-coding RNA of Physeter macrocephalus (sperm whale), 3973 nucleotides long. RefSeq lists it as uncharacterized. The record is from RefSeq and is a predicted model, not a curated record. NCBI's taxonomy places the organism in Eukaryota, Metazoa, Chordata, Mammalia, Artiodactyla, Physeteridae. The transcript is spliced from 3 exons.